CCUACGGGUGGCUGCAGUGGGGAAUAUUGGACAAUGGGGGGAACCCUGAUCCAGCCAUGCCGCGUGUGUGAAGAAGGCCCUCGGGUUGUAAAGCACUUUCAGUGAGGAAGAACGCCUGGUGGUUAAUACCCAUCAGGAAAGACAUCACUCACAGAAGAAGCACCGGCUAACUCCGUGCCAGCAGCCGCGGUAAUACGGAGGGUGCGAGCGUUAAUCGGAAUUACUGGGCGUAAAGCGCGCGUAGGUGGCUUGAUAAGCCGGUUGUGAAAGCCCCGGGCUCAACCUGGGAACGGCAUCCGGAACUGUCAAGCUAGAGUGCAGGAGAGGAAGGUAGAAUUCCCGGUGUAGCGGUGAAAUGCGUAGAGAUCGGGAGGGAUACCAGUGGCGAAGGCGGCCUUCUGGACUGACACUGACACUGAGGUGCGAAAGCGUGGGUAGCAAACAGGAUUAGAUACCCCGGUAGUC
This 465-nucleotide ribosomal RNA is filed under the name Vreelandella stevensii. RNAcentral describes it as "partial 16S ribosomal RNA". It matches the Rfam family "Bacterial small subunit ribosomal RNA", at positions 338 to 795 of the family's 1533-position model. Lineage: Bacteria; Pseudomonadati; Pseudomonadota; Gammaproteobacteria; Oceanospirillales; Halomonadaceae. The record is from RNAcentral.